Molecule: ribosomal RNA, 348 nt
Filed under: uncultured bacterium
Lineage: Bacteria
Description: partial 16S ribosomal RNA
Rfam family: Bacterial small subunit ribosomal RNA
Source: RNAcentral
CCUACGGGAGGCUGCAGUGAGGAAUAUUGGUCAAUGGCCGGAAGGCUGAACCAGCCAAGUCGCGUGAGGGAAUAAGGCCCUAUGGGUCGUAAACCUCUUUUGUCAGGGAGCAAAGGCGUCCACGUGUGGACGAUAGGAGAAUAACUGAAGAAAAAGCAUCGGCUAAAUCCGUGCCAGCAGCCGCGGUAAUACGGAGUAUGCGAGCGUUAUCCGGAUUUAUUGGGUUUAAAGGGUGCAGAGGCGGAGUGUCAAUUUAGCGGUAAAAGUUAGGGGCUCAACCCCGUCGUGCCGUUGAAACUGACGCCCUUUAGUGAUUGAGAAGUAAGCGGAAUGCGUGGUGUAGCGGUG